Molecule: long non-coding RNA, 845 nt
Filed under: Lathyrus oleraceus (garden pea)
Lineage: Eukaryota; Viridiplantae; Streptophyta; Magnoliopsida; Fabales; Fabaceae
Description: Pisum sativum (pea) long non-coding RNA (PSAT_LNC003654)
Source: RNAcentral
UUUCAACACAAAAAUCAUUCAUAAAUCAAAUUUCCAAUUAUACCAUUCGAUUCCACCUUACAAGAAUUACAUGUUCAUUUCUAAACCAAUGCAUUUUCUAUACAUAAAGAAAAUAAGUUUCCAAUUGACCAUUUACAACAUUUCAUUACACAACCAUUUUAGUACAUUUUAAUUCAACACUUUCAUACAAGUUCACUCUAAUACAUGACCAUGCAUUAUAAUUGAUCAUACAUUAAUUUAACUACCUAUCACAUACACCAUUACAUCCAAUUUCUAAUCCAUUUCUAUACAUACAAAAACCCUACCAAUACAAUUCAAAUCAAAGGUCCAAAACAUGAGCAAUGCAAUUCCAAGCAAAAUCCAAUCAAAGUAUUCCAUAGCCAAUCUAAAUUUAUUGCAUUCCAUCACCCAAUAGCAAAUUCACUUCAUUGAAUUCAAUUAAAGCAUCCACCAUGGCAGCCAAUGCAUUUCAAGGCAGCCAAUGAAGAGCUUCAUAAUCUGUAGAGACAACAACUCAGUUCAAUGUCCAAACAACAAUUAACCUGCAAGUUCAAUUCAGAUCAUCACCCUUCCAACUAACCUAAAGUUACAGAAAAACCAAAUAAAACCACUACUGAAUUGAAUUUCAACCGAAUCAAAAACGGCUAACCGAAAAUCAUAAUAACCGUCCACACUUCUAACAAAAUUGGUAACAGACUUUCAACUGUCACCAACCACCAAAAAUGACACCAACCAAAAACAGAAUUCUCCAUAUUUUUCAAACCUUUCCAACUGACUUAGAAACAUAACUCAGAAUUGUCAUAACAAAUUUCUUAACCUCCUCACACCUUCAUAACAGAGUUCCU